GAUAUUGUGGCUGGCAGCAUUUAGAAGAGUCCAGGACAGUACAAGUAAUGCUGUGGCCAUGUACAGGGGAACCCUGAACUGCCAUGGUGGUCUGCAUCAA
This is a long non-coding RNA of Gavialis gangeticus (Gharial), 100 nucleotides long. RefSeq lists it as uncharacterized. The record is from RefSeq and is a predicted model, not a curated record. The transcript has 3 exons. NCBI's taxonomy places the organism in Eukaryota, Metazoa, Chordata, Crocodylia, Gavialidae.